GGCUAGUUAGCUCAGUUGGUUAGAGCUUGGUGUUGCUAACACCAAGGUCAAGGGUUCGGAUUCCCAUACCAGCCA
Non-coding RNA from Cynocephalus volans (Philippine flying lemur), 75 nucleotides. NCBI's taxonomy places the organism in Eukaryota, Metazoa, Chordata, Mammalia, Dermoptera, Cynocephalidae. The record is from the annotation of a RefSeq genome assembly.